AUUUGUCUGGUUAAUUCCGAUAACGAACGAGACCUUAACCUGCUAACUAGUUCUCAAUACUCUGUAUUCUGCAACUUCUUAGAGGGACUAUGUAAAUCAAUUACAUGGAAGUUUGAGGCAAUAACAGGUCAGUGAUGCCCUUAUAUGUCCUGGGCUGCACGCGUGCUACACUGAUGCAUACAACAAGUGCCUAGCCAGACAUGGUAUGGCAAUCUCGAAUAUGCAUCGUGAUGGGGAUAGAUCUUUGCAAUUAUAGAUCUUGAACGAGGAAUUCCUAGUAAGUGCAAGUCAUCAUCUUGCAUUGACUAUGUCCCUGCCCUUUGUACACACCGCCCGUCGCUCCUACCGAUACCGGGUGAUCCGGUGAACCUUUUGGACUCCGUAUGGGGGAAGAUAAGUAAACCAUAUCACCUAGAGGAAGGAGAAGUCGUAACAAGGUUUCCGUAGGUGAACCUGCRGAAGGAUCA
RNAcentral lists this ribosomal RNA (467 nucleotides) under uncultured ciliate. Its description in RNAcentral is "SSU rRNA". It matches the Rfam family "Eukaryotic small subunit ribosomal RNA". The record is from RNAcentral. Lineage: Eukaryota; Ciliophora.